This 405-nucleotide ribosomal RNA is filed under the name uncultured bacterium. RNAcentral's name for it is "bacterial SSU rRNA". It matches the Rfam family "Bacterial small subunit ribosomal RNA", at positions 356 to 773 of the family's 1533-position model. The record is from RNAcentral.
GGGGAAUAUUGCGCAAUGGGCGAAAGCCUGACGCAGCGACGCCGCGUGAGGGAUGACGGCCUUCGGGUUGUAAACCUCUUUCAGCUCCGACGAAGCGAGAGUGACGGUAGGAGCAGAAGAAGCACCGGCCAACUACGUGCCAGCAGCCGCGGUAAUACGUAGGGUGCGAGCGUUGUCCGGAAUUAUUGGGCGUAAAGAGCUCGUAGGUGGUCUGUCGCGUCGGCUGUGAAAACUCGGGGCUCAACCCCGAGCCUGCAGUCGAUACGGGCAGACUAGAGUUCGGCAGGGGAGACUGGAAUUCCUGGUGUAGCGGUGAAAUGCGCAGAUAUCAGGAGGAACACCGGUGGCGAAGGCGGGUCUCUGGGCCGAUACUGACACUGAGGAGCGAAAGCGUGGGGAGCGAAC